CUCUCUCUCUCCCUUAUCCUCUUCUCUCUCUCCCGUCCCCCACGCCUCUCCUUGUUCCUAGCCACUUCUCUCUCUCUCUCCCUUAUCCUCUUCUCUCUCUCCCGUCCCCCACGCCUCUCCUUGUUCCCAGCCAAUAUCCACCUCCACCUACCGCCGUUCCCCAAGCCGCCGACGAGCACCAGGUCAAGCUCCGCCGCCCCUACCUCCUCCUUCCUCCUGCCUGUCUUCCUCGUUCUCUAUCUCUCCCCCAUACCUCACCCCUUGCCCUCUCUCUCUCAGGCAGUCGACGCCAUGGACGGCUGCUGAGCUUCGCGCCACCCGACGUCAACCGCAUCGCCGCCCCAAGGGAUCCGUGCGCGUGGCCGCGCCGCCGGUGUGUGCGGCCGCAGCAACAGGUUCGGCAAGGACUCUCGGCCCUGCCGCUUCAUUGCUCCUGCCCAAGCCGGCCUCCGCUUUCUGACCCCGCCACCGGCGAGCUGCCAUGCCCGUCCUCGUCGCACUGGUGCUAUCCUCUAGUAUGCUUGCUGGCUGCGACCAGAGCCCUGUACAUAUUUGGUUGUUGCUUUCUUGAUGGGUUUUAAGUGGAUCUUAAUUUGAUGUAUCCUGGCACUUGUCCAUGUGUAAAUCUGAUGUGCAGAACACUUAGAAGUUGCUACUCGUAGGAUAUUCUUGCUCGUAUGUGUACACGUGAAGAAUGGCUAGCUCGUAGAUCCGUUUUCUUUUUGUUAAAGAAAUAUACAUUAAUUUUUAUUUAAUUUGUAUUGCAAAUCUCUGUAGUGAC
Molecule: long non-coding RNA, 781 nt
Filed under: Triticum aestivum (bread wheat)
Lineage: Eukaryota; Viridiplantae; Streptophyta; Magnoliopsida; Poales; Poaceae
Description: long non-coding RNA (TAES_LNC019085)
Source: RNAcentral